Molecule: long non-coding RNA, 379 nt
Filed under: Gallus gallus (chicken)
Lineage: Eukaryota; Metazoa; Chordata; Aves; Galliformes; Phasianidae
Source: RNAcentral
AGGUUCCUGUCCUGCUGUCUGGGGGAGAGUUUUGGUAGCCUGCCCGGCCAACCCUAGCCCAGAGUAGUCCCAGGUGUGGGAACAAGGCUGCCCACCAUCGCAUUGGCAUCAACAUAACUGAUAGCUCUCAACAUGCUGCAUCAGCGAAAGCACACAGACAAAUGAGGCUGGCCAUGGAGUCACACCAGCCUCAGCAGGACCUGUACAGAUCAGCUGUGAUCACCAGGGUUGCACAACCUUCCACAAGUGAGAAGUGGACUCUGGACAGCGAGAUAUGCAUUACAAGAUAAAGCUGUCCUGCUAUGCCACAGCAGUUGAAGAGUCUGAGCAUGCCUCAGUGGCCCUGCGCUCCCAGCACACAAAGCCAUCUGCAGCCACC